Molecule: ribosomal RNA, 465 nt
Filed under: Vreelandella stevensii
Lineage: Bacteria; Pseudomonadati; Pseudomonadota; Gammaproteobacteria; Oceanospirillales; Halomonadaceae
Description: partial 16S ribosomal RNA
Rfam family: Bacterial small subunit ribosomal RNA
Source: RNAcentral
CCUACGGGUGGCUGCAGUGGGGAAUAUUGGACAAUGGGCGAAAGCCUGAUCCAGCCAUGCCGCGUGUGUGAAGAAGGCCUUCGGGUUGUAAAGCACUUUCAGUGGGGAAGAAAGCCUUGGGGCUAAUACCCUCGAGGAAGGACAUCACCCACAGAAGAAGCACCGGCUAACUCCGUGCCAGCAGCCGCGGUAAUACGGAGGGUGCGAGCGUUAAUCGGAAUUACUGGGCGUAAAGCGCGCGUAGGCGGUCUGAUAAGCCGGUUGUGAAAGCCCCGGGCUCAACCUAGGAACGGCAUCCGGAACUGUCAGGCUAGAGUGCAGGAGAGGAAGGUAGAAUUCCCGGUGUAGCGGUGAAAUGCGUAGAGAUCGGGAGGAAUACCAGUGGCGAAGGCGGCCUUCUGGACUGACACUGACGCUGAGGUGCGAAAGCGUGGGUAGCAAACAGGAUUAGAUACCCUUGUAGUC